GCCUCACCAACGAGGCCUUGCCAUUCUUUUUUUAUUUUCUAGGUUUGCUUUUUUUAAUUUAAAUUUUAGUUUUUAAGUUUUUAAUCUAAUUUACAUAAGACUUGGAGAAGAAAAUAAUAGAAAUGCCAUGUAGUAAAGAGGAAUUAAUUAAAAAAUUUCAGGUCAGCAUUUUCUGCUAGUGGCGAUGCGGGAUGAACCGGAAGUCGAGUUACGGUGCCCGACUGCGCGCUAACCUAGAACCCACAAAGGAUGUUGGUCGAUUAAGACAGCCGAACGGUGGUCAUGGAAGUCGAAAUCCGCUAAGGAGUGUGUAACAACUCACCUGCCGAAUCAACUAGCCUCGAAAAUGGAUGGCGUUGAAGUUAGUGAUAUUAACAUAAAGGACUUGGUUAUAUCAACUUGUCAAUUUUAGAA
This 414-nucleotide non-coding RNA is filed under the name Eucalyptus grandis. RNAcentral's name for it is "Eukaryotic large subunit ribosomal RNA". It matches the Rfam family "Eukaryotic large subunit ribosomal RNA", at positions 1033 to 1381 of the family's 3401-position model. The record is from Rfam by way of RNAcentral. Lineage: Eukaryota; Viridiplantae; Streptophyta; Magnoliopsida; Myrtales; Myrtaceae.